This 759-nucleotide ribosomal RNA is filed under the name Diaporthe amygdali. Its description in RNAcentral is "SSU rRNA". It matches the Rfam family "Eukaryotic small subunit ribosomal RNA", at positions 622 to 1408 of the family's 1831-position model. Lineage: Eukaryota; Fungi; Ascomycota; Sordariomycetes; Diaporthales; Diaporthaceae. The record is from RNAcentral.
AAAAGCUCGUAGUUGAACCUUGGGCCUGGCUGGCCGGUCUGCCUCACCGCAUGCACUGGUCCGGCCGGGCCUUUCCCUCUGGGGAGCCGCAUGCCCUUCACUGGGUGUGUCGGGGAACCAGGACUUUUACUGUGAAAAAAUUAGAGUGUUCAAAGCAGGCAUAUGCUCGAAUACAUUAGCAUGGAAUAAUAGAAUAGGACGUCGCGGUUCUAUUUUGUUGGUUUCUAGGACCGCCGUAAUGAUUAAUAGGGACAGUCGGGGGCAUCAGUAUUCAAUCGUCAGAGGUGAAAUUCUUGGAUCGAUUGAAGACUAACUACUGCGAAAGCAUUUGCCAAGGAUGUUUUCAUUAAUCAGGAACGAAAGUUAGGGGAUCGAAAACGAUCAGAUACCGUUGUAGUCUUAACCAUAAACUAUGCCGACUAGGGAUCGGGCGGUGUUAUUUCUUGACCCGCUCGGCACCUUACACGAAAGUAAAGUUUUUGGGUUCUGGGGGGAGUAUGGUCGCAAGGCUGAAACUUAAAGAAAUUGACGGAAGGGCACCACAAGGGGUGGAGCCUGCGGCUUAAUUUGACUCAACACGGGGAAACUCACCAGGUCCAGACACAACUAGGAUUGACAGAUUGAGAGCUCUUUCUUGAUUUUGUGGGUGGUGGUGCAUGGCCGUUCUUAGUUGGUGGAGUGAUUUGUCUGCUUAAUUGCGAUAACGAACGAGACCUUAACCUGCUAAAUAGCCCGUGCCGCCUAGGCGGCACGCCGGCU